CCUACGGGAGGCAGCAGUGGGGAAUCUUGCGCAAUGGGCGAAAGCCUGACGCAGCCAUGCCGCGUGAAUGAUGGAGGUCUUAGGAUUGUAAAAUUCUUUCAGUAGGGACGAUAAUGACGGUACCUACAGAAGAAGCCCCGGCUAACUUCGUGCCAGCAGCCGCGGUAAUACGAAGGGGGCUAGCGUUGCUCGGAAUUACUGGGCGUAAAGGGAGCGUAGGCGGACAUUUAAGUCAGGGGUGAAAUCCCAGAGCUCAACUCUGGAACUGCCUUUGAUACUGGGUGUCUUGAGUGUGAUAGAGGUAUGUGGAACUCCGAGUGUAGAGGUGAAAUUCGUAGAUAUUCGGAAGAACACCAGUGGCGAAGGCGACAUACUGGAUCAUUACUGACGCUGAGGCUCGAAAGCGUGGGGAGCAAACAGGAUUAGAUACCCUGGUAGUCCACGACCGUAACGAUAGAUGCUAGUUGUCGGUAAGGUUACUUACUCGUGACGCGAGCUACGACAUUAAGUACAAUACCGCCGUCGGGAGGUACGGUCGGCGAAGAAGUUAAACGUUAAAGUUAAGUAAGUUAGUUACGGUCGUUGAGACGUUGCGACGGACGACGACGAGGGAGGAGG
This 618-nucleotide ribosomal RNA is filed under the name uncultured bacterium. Its description in RNAcentral is "bacterial SSU rRNA". The stretch from base 1 to 521 matches the Rfam family "Bacterial small subunit ribosomal RNA", at positions 338 to 873 of the family's 1533-position model. The record is from RNAcentral.